GCCUUGUUAGCUCAAUGGUAGAGCGUCAGAUUCUUACAGUCCCUCUGACCGGGAAGGCCGCAGGUUCGAUUCCUGUGCGAGGCA
Non-coding RNA from Hysterangium stoloniferum, 84 nucleotides. The record is from the annotation of a GenBank genome assembly. NCBI's taxonomy places the organism in Eukaryota, Fungi, Basidiomycota, Agaricomycetes, Hysterangiales, Hysterangiaceae.